CAAAUACUUCCUUUGUUCGAAAAUAUUUGUCAUCAAAAUGGACAAAAAAGAAUGUAUCUAAAACUAAAAUACAUCUAAAUACAUUUCCUUUUAUCCAUUUUGAUGACAAGUAUUUUCGGACGGAGGUACCUC
This is a non-coding RNA of Triticum urartu, 132 nucleotides long. The record is from Rfam. Lineage: Eukaryota; Viridiplantae; Streptophyta; Magnoliopsida; Poales; Poaceae.